Molecule: ribosomal RNA, 273 nt
Filed under: Triticum aestivum (bread wheat)
Lineage: Eukaryota; Viridiplantae; Streptophyta; Magnoliopsida; Poales; Poaceae
Description: partial small subunit ribosomal RNA
Source: RNAcentral
AUGGUGAAGAGCAAUCCUAGUUAUCUUGGCAUCUCUGAGCCAAUCUCGUUAAGCGGGCCGACCGAGAAGGAUGUCAUUCAGACAGCUGAGGUCGAAAAGUUUCUUGCUGACGCGGGCUUGUACGAGAGUCAGGAGGAGGCUGUCUCUCGAGAAGAGGUCUUAGGCAAACUUGACCGGGUUUGAGCAUACUCUGCCGAUGUGCUUAUAUUUUGGGUAGGCCGGUUUCAAGAUGACUUGUUGUUUGUCCUGGCAGACUGUGAAAACAUGGAUUAA